CGUCUCAAAAAAAAAAAAAAAAGAAAAAGAAAAAGAAAGUGAUGGUCUGUAGCUGAUGCAAUUAUGUAACAUGCCACACCUUCCAUUUUUAUCAUUUUUAAUACGGAAUAAAAUCCGUCCACAAGCUUCUAGGAGACAACGUUCAAGGCUGAUGUGGUGCAGGUUGUGUUUCUGCCUGGUGCAGGUACUGCCAAGAUAACAAGAGUUUGACUGUUUUUAUGAAGAUCAAUGACUCUGACCCCCACAAAGGAUUCCUCUGUGAGUGAGGGAUCAGAUGACAGCCCGUGGACAGCUGGCAUUCCUCAGCCUGUUGGUCAGACGAUGCUCCCUCCUCUGAGAAUGGCAGGGUUCCCUCAGGGGAGGAGGUGAGCUGAUUGGGUCAGCUGGGAGCUAAGUGAGGUCACAGGGAGGGACGUCUACCCCGUGGAAUCAUGUCUUAUUAAGGAGUGAAAGAGACACCAUCUAUCGCUGCCCAGGAAUCAGCUCCGCGUGGCGGCGGGUUUGGGGCAGGGGCAAGUAAACGUCAGGAACGGACCAGACAGUGAACAUUUUAGGAUUUGUGACUGUGUAACUCUGCUGUUGUAGUGCAGAAGCAGCCGUGGGUGAUACCUGGGCAAAUGGGCCUGGCGUGUUCCCACGACAAUGCGUUUACUGUAACAGAUGCCAAGAGGAUUAGGCCACCGACUUUUGCAUGUGCUCUUCGGGCCUGCCGCCUGAGCAGAAUGAGGAUUCCAGUGGUGUUCACAUCAUCAGGCGUCUCGUGUUCUGCGUAUAAAACAAGCUCUUGAAGUCAGGAGACAACGUGCAAGCUUAGCAGGCAGGUAGCUCGUGAAGCAUCUCACCUCCCAGCAUAACAAGUGCUUCUCCAUCCGUACGUACAGAAUUCCACUCUGCAGGCGGCAAUGUUGUGAUGGAAUAUGCUCUGAGAGAGAGAGGAGGUGACUUCUGCCAGGAGUGAUCAGGAGGACUUCUUGGAGGAGGCAGCACUUGAACUGGUCUUGAAAGAUGAUGAGAUUUUAAUGGGAAAAGAGACGAUCGAGAAGAACCUUCCAGCAGGAGGGAGCUGCCUUAGCAAAGAUAGGGAGGCUGGAAAACAUGAGAAGUGGGACAGGAAUAUCAACACAGGACCUCUCCCUUCUGAGCCAAACUGACACUCACCUCUUGCCAUGAAAGGUCGCUCUUCCGGAGAUUAUAAGCUAUUUAUUUUUAAUAGAGAAACUGCCUUAGUUUGAGUUCUGGCUGCCACUUAUUUAGGGAAGAAACAACUUUUUGGGCCUCAGGUCCUCAUCUGUAAAAUGGGCUGAAUAAUAGGAUUGUGCCUCUCUCCAGUGGGCUGUUAGAGGUUGGGCUGCGUACCCCCAGUACUCACAUGCUGAGGCCUAACCCGGUGUGACUGUACAUGGAGACAGGUGUAUAGGGAGGGGAUAAAGGCUAAGUGAGGCCACAGGGGAGGGGCCUCUACCCUCUAGAGUCGUGUCUUUAUAAGGAGUGAAAGAGAAACCAUCGCUUGCUUCUCUCCCGUGUGCAGAGGAAAGGCCAGUGAGGAGGCGCCCUGCAGCCCCAGGCAGAGCCCUCACCACGCCAGCCCUGCCGACGCCUUGAUCUCGGACUCCCGGGCAUCUGCUGCAUAAACCACCCCGUCCGAUGUAUUUUCCCAUGGCAGCUUGAGCAGAAUGAGGCUGGGGCUUUGGAAGAAGGAACUUCACAUGUGAGGAACUUGGAGAGUGGGACGUGCCGUGUGUGCACAUGUGCUGCUGGUGGCUGUUGUUAUUGUUAUGAUCAGGAGUGGCGUAUUCCCAGCCUCUGGAAGCUAACCUCAUGGUUUUCUUUCUUCUUCCACUUUUCCUUUUUCAGAUCAUGCCUGCCCUUAGCCUGAAUCCCCGCCAUGUAGGGCUCCAGGACUGCUGUGGCCUCAGCAAUUCUGGGCUCCCGGAGGCCCUGGUUCAUCGUUCUGCCCUUUCCCCUUGGCUGGCCUAGAUGCCAUGUCCUCUUUCUUGGGACGGUCCUCACUGACGGGCCCCAUGGGAGGAGGGAGACAGGGCCAGCUGCCAUGUGGGCACAGCUGUCAUGGCAUCCCCUCCUCCAGACAUUGCUCACCAGUCCUGGCUUCCCUGAGCUUCUCGUCAGCCCUGGUGGAAGUGAGCAGACAUGAUGACUUAGUCUUGUUUUCCCCAUCAGGAGGCCAGGGCAGGGGAAAGGCAGUGUGCCGCUGAGUGGUUGGUCGUCUGACUUAGUGCCAGUCACGCGCAUGUGAUCUAGGGUCUCGGGGCACGGUGCUGGGACAGCUCAGCUGGCAGACCUAGGACAGGGCUGGAGGGUGGGGGGCAGGACUGGGGCCAGAACUCUUCUCCCUCCCUCCCUCCGGACUCAGGGGGGUCCCUUGGGCGAAUUCCUUGUCCAGACAGAGAUGUGCGGGGCGAGAGACCCCCAGUCUCCCUAGGAGAAGUGAGCAGGUGGGGCCCAAGACAACAGCCCCCUGUGGCAACCUCCAGCCCUGGGACAGUGGCCUGAACCCUGGGUCACCACGCUUACUCCACCCAGUGCAGAAUUCUCCAGCGCCCAGCCUUGCAGAGGCAACGCGGCUCUGACAGGACCUGUAAUCUCUUCCUGCCACUUCUUUGUCAUGCAACCAGCCCUUGCCUUCAAAUCUCUCAAAAUCCUCUUCCCCAGAGGUCGCUGCCCUGGUCCUCGGAGCAGGCUGUGGACAUGGACUGACUCUGCCGAGCUCUUCCUCCUCUGUGUACCGAGGCCACAGCCCCCACUCCCAUCCCCAAUGCAGGCUCUGCCUGUGCUACUGUCCCUUGUCCUUCCCCUUAUCAAGCCCAGGGGACCCCGUAACCACACGCCCUCCUCAGGGCCUUUUCAUUGGAAUUCCCACACUCUGCAUUUCUAAAGGACUGGUGGAAACCGCAGGGUUCUUCUGAGCAGUGAGCUACUGGAGUGAAUCGAAAUCACACUUGCUUCCUCCACAUCCCACCUGCAGCCACAUUUGUCAGGAGCGCAGCUGCUGCAGAAAGCGUCUCUGGAGCUUGGGAAGCAGGCGCGGGGCCACUCUGAACUCCCCUGUGCUAAUCACACCCCAUUUCUGCAUCCUGCGGGCACUUUGGUCGGACCCUUUCGAUAUCAAACACUGAUCAAUUGUAAUGAACGGCACUGUUCCCACACAGGACCUCUAAUGACUACUGAGUUCUUAUGAGGAGUGCCUCGUGCUUUGCAGCAUCUAACGUCUCGACAGUGACCUGCUAGUUCCUAUCCAGCUCGUCAGCAGAUCACGGUCACAAACCCUGGGAGAGGUGGGCUUGCCAUGCCACUGCCCCUGCUGAUUCUCCAUCCAGCGGCCGCCUCCUACUGCAGGGCACCGCCGCUCCUUUCUUGGGUCCUGGCAUGGCUCGUGGCAAUUAUCUCCCCUACCCCACCCCCACAACUGACGACAUGUUUCCUGUGUGAGACUCUUUGUCUCCCGAGAAGCAGACACCAAGACAGGAUGAGAGACGGAUUUUAUUGGGAAAAACACCUGCAGGAGAAAACGGGUCUGCGCUGCCUCAGGUCUGAAAUGAUGUCUUCUCUCUCCUGUUUUGUGAGCGGCUCGUUCUGCUGUCAAAUAGGCCCUUUCCCCAGGACCCUUGGGGUCCAGCAUAGGAUCUGACCCGGCAGGACCUCAGCAAAGACUCGUGGCUGCUUUCAGAGUGGACACCUGCCGUCACGUUUUCCUGAGCAUUUCCCUAUGCUGCCGGCGCACUGGGGAGCUCUACUCAACCCACAACGGACUGCAGAUCUUUUGGCCGCUGCAUUCACAACUUUGUCCCGAGCCGCUCCGUGGAAGGCAUCCUGGAAGUCUAUCGGUCUUCCCACGAGCGUUCAAGACUCCCAGAUCCCCACGGGCCCUGAUACCAUCUCUGUCUGAGCAGCUGCCCGUGUGUGCGGGAGCACCCUGCCUGAGGCGGAGGGAGCACAGCAUCCGUUCGGAGAUGUUUGAGGACAAUACAUAAAAAUGCACGAUUUCAAACCACUGCUGCAUUUUUUUUUUGAGACGAUGUCCUGCUCUGUCGCCCAGGCUGGAAUGUAGUGGCACAAUCUCGGCUCAUUGCAACCUCCUCCUCCCAGGUUUAAGUGAUUCUCCCGCCUCAGCCUCCCAAGUAGCUGGGAUUACAGGGUAUCCCCUGCUGCCCUGCAUGAGGCUUCUUUACCUGCUGUCUGUUCACCCCAAGGCGGGAGCUUCCUGAAAGCUGGAGCACCGAC
Macaca mulatta (Rhesus monkey) is the source of this 4239-nucleotide non-coding RNA. NCBI's taxonomy places the organism in Eukaryota, Metazoa, Chordata, Mammalia, Primates, Cercopithecidae. The record is from RefSeq and is a predicted model, not a curated record.